RNAcentral lists this ribosomal RNA (449 nucleotides) under uncultured bacterium. Its description in RNAcentral is "bacterial SSU rRNA". It matches the Rfam family "Bacterial small subunit ribosomal RNA", at positions 328 to 793 of the family's 1533-position model. The record is from RNAcentral.
CUCUGUGACUCCUACGGGAGGCAGCAGUGGGGAAUAUUGCACAAUGGACGCAAGCCUGAUGCAGCAACGCCGUGUGAGUGAAGAAGGUUUUCGGAUCGUAAAACUCUGUCCUAAGGGAAGAAACAAAUGACGGUACCUUAGGAGGAAGCCCCGGCUAACUACGUGCCAGCAGCCGCGGUAAUACGUAGGGGGCAAGCGUUAUCCGGAAUCACUGGGCGUAAAGGGUGCGUAGGCGGCUUAGCAAGCCAGGGGUGAAAGGCAUUGGCUCAACCAAUGUAAGCCUUUGGAACUGUUAAGCUUGAGUGCAGGAGAGGUAAGUGGAAUUCCUAGUGUAGAGGUGAAAUUCGUAGAUAUUAGGAGGAACACCAGUGGCGAAGGCGACUUACUGGACUGUAACUGACGCUGAUGCACGAAAGCGUGGGUAGCGAACAGGAUUAGAUACCCUGUAG